RNAcentral lists this transfer RNA (752 nucleotides) under uncultured cyanobacterium. RNAcentral describes it as "partial miscellaneous RNA". The stretch from base 257 to 329 matches the Rfam family "tRNA". Lineage: Bacteria; Bacillati; Cyanobacteriota. The record is from RNAcentral.
CAGGGAGACAUCACUGAUUUUGAUGCCUGAAUCUUUUAUUUUUAGGCCAUAAUCCUGUCACCUUAGGUCGAUCGGUACCUCAGUUUGAUUUUUCAAGAACAAGUAUUUGUUUGUAGAAAUUUUGAAUUCAGUUCCUAAACUUUGUCUAGGUCACACCCAACAAGGGUACUCCUGGGCCAUUAGCUCAGGUGGUUAGAGCGCACCCCUGAUAAGGGUGAGGUCCCUGGUUCAAGUCCAGGAUGGCCCAUUCGGUGUUGGGGGUAUAGCUCAGUUGGUAGAGCGCCUGCUUUGCAAGCAGGAUGUCAGCGGUUCGAGUCCGCUUACCUCCAUUGAUCCAACUCCUGAUGACGAAGCCCAAGGAGAUAUGUCUUGAUUGUGAUCUAGCACUUGUUCUUUAUGAAUGAACCUAGCUUCUUGUCAUUCCUUGCUAAAUAAUUUGGCAUGGCUGAUAUGACGCUGGGCUCCCUGCAAUCCAAAUUGCAGAGACGUUCAGUAGAACCUUGAAAACUGCAUAGGUGAGUCUGGAAAGAAUAAAGCAUCUCAUGGAUGCAUUAUUCUUUUGAGUUAAUUUAAUAAUUAACUGAUUUUUUCAGAAGUAAUUAUUAGAUUUACUCGAAUUUAUAAUGUUUAAUUCUUGAGCAAGAGCCGAGACUCUAAUAUCGCCCUUUCAUUUUUUAAUGAGAGUCAGAUCUUUAAUUCAUUAAUGAAUUAAAGAGAAAAGUGUUAACAACACAGGCGUUUUAGAGAUUAAU